AUACAGAGGGUGCAAGCGUUAAUCGGAUUUACUGGGCGUAAAGCGCGCGUAGGUGGCUAAUUAAGUCAAAUGUGAAAUCCCCGAGCUUAACUUGGGAAUUGCAUUCGAUACUGGUUAGCUAGAGUAUGGGAGAGGAUGGUAGAAUUCCAGGUGUAGCGGUGAAAUGCGUAGAGAUCUGGAGGAAUACCGAUGGCGAAGGCAGCCAUCUGGCCUAAUACUGACACUGAGGUGCGAAAGCAUGGGGAGCAAACAGGAUUAGAUACCCUGGUAGUCCAUGCCGUAAACGAUGUCUACUAGCCGUUGGGGCCCUUGAGGCUUUAGUGGCGCAGCUAACGCGAUAAGUAGACCGCCCGGGGAGUACGGUCGCAAGACUAAAACUCAAAUGAAUUGACGGGG
Molecule: ribosomal RNA, 396 nt
Filed under: uncultured bacterium
Lineage: Bacteria
Description: partial 16S ribosomal RNA
Rfam family: Bacterial small subunit ribosomal RNA
Source: RNAcentral